UCCCUGGUGGCUCAGACAGUAAAGCAUCUGCCUGCAAUGCGGGAGACCUGGGUUCGAUUCCUGGGUCGGGAA
Molecule: transfer RNA, 72 nt
Organism: Ovis aries (sheep)
Lineage: Eukaryota; Metazoa; Chordata; Mammalia; Artiodactyla; Bovidae
Rfam family: tRNA
About the family: Transfer RNA (tRNA) molecules are approximately 80 nucleotides in length. Their secondary structure includes four short double-helical elements and three loops (D, anti-codon, and T loops).
Source: Rfam